Molecule: ribosomal RNA, 497 nt
Filed under: uncultured bacterium
Lineage: Bacteria
Description: partial 16S ribosomal RNA
Rfam family: Bacterial small subunit ribosomal RNA
Source: RNAcentral
GAUGAACGCUGGCGGCGUGCCUAACACAUGCAAGUCGAGCGAACAGACGAGGUGCUUGCUCCUCUGACGUUAGCGGCGGACGGGAGAGUAACAUGUGGAUAACCUACCUAUAAGACUGGGAUAACUACGGGAAACCGGAGCUAAUACCGAAUAAUAUAUUCAACCGCAUGGUUCAAUAGUGAAUGACGGUUUUGCUGUCACUUAUAGAUGGAUCCGCGCCGCAUUAGCUAGUUGGUAGGGUAACGGCUUACCAAGGCAACGAUGCGUAGCCGACCAGAGAGAGGGAUCGUCGACAGUGGAAGUGAGACACGGUCCAGACUGCUACGGGAGGCAGCAGUAGGGAAUCUUCCGAGAUGGGCGAAAGCCUGACGGAGCAACGCCGCGUGGGUGAUGAAGGUCUUCGGAUCGGAAGACUCUGUUAUUAGGGAAGAACAAAUGUGUAAGUAACUAUGCACGUCUUGACGGUACCUGAUCAGAAAGCCACGGCUAACUACGUG